GACGUAGGGGGCUAGCGUUGUCCGGAAUCACUGGGCGUAAAGAGCUCGUAGGCGGCCUGUUAAGUCGGGUGUGAAAGCCCUCGGCUCAACCAAGGAAUUGCACUUGAUACUGGCAGGCUAGAGUCUAGUAGAGGGAAGUGGAAUUCCCGGUGUAGCGGUGAAAUGCGCAGAUAUCGGGAAGAACACCGGUGGCGAAGGCGGCUUCCUGGGCUAUGACUGACGCUGAGGAGCGAAAGCUAGGGGAGCGAACAGGAUUAGAUACCCCCGUAGUCC
RNAcentral lists this ribosomal RNA (273 nucleotides) under uncultured bacterium. RNAcentral's name for it is "partial 16S ribosomal RNA". It matches the Rfam family "Bacterial small subunit ribosomal RNA", at positions 524 to 796 of the family's 1533-position model. The record is from RNAcentral.